GAUGAAGAACGCAGCGAAAUGCGAUAAGUAAUGUGAAUUGCAGAAUUCAGUUAAUCAUCGAAUCUUUGAACGCACAUUGCGCCCGCCAGCAUUCUGGCGGGCAUGCCUGUUCGAGCGUCAUUUCAACCCUCAAGCUCUGCUUGGUGUUGGGGCCCUACGUCUGACGUAGGCCCUCAAAGACAGUGGCGGACCCUCUCGGAGCCUCCUUUGCGUAGUAACUAACGUCUCGCACUGGGAUUCGGAGGGACUCUUGCCGUAAAACCCCCAAUUUUUACAGGUUGACCUCGGAUCAGGUAGGAAUACCCGCUGAACUUAAGCAUAUCAAUAAGCGGAGGA
This 336-nucleotide unclassified non-coding RNA is filed under the name soil metagenome. Its description in RNAcentral is "partial contains 5.8S ribosomal RNA, internal transcribed spacer 2, and large subunit ribosomal RNA". The stretch from base 1 to 120 matches the Rfam family "5.8S ribosomal RNA", at positions 35 to 154 of the family's 154-position model. The record is from RNAcentral.